This 253-nucleotide ribosomal RNA is filed under the name uncultured bacterium. Its description in RNAcentral is "partial 16S ribosomal RNA". It matches the Rfam family "Bacterial small subunit ribosomal RNA", at positions 524 to 776 of the family's 1533-position model. RNAcentral also lists the same sequence under 1 other name. The record is from RNAcentral.
AACGUAGGAGGCGAGCGUUAUCCGGAUUUACUGGGCGUAAAGCGCGCGCAGGUGGCUUCGUUAGUCGGACAUGAAAGCUCCUGGCUUAACUGGGAGAGGCUGUUCGAUACUGCGGGGCUUGAGGUUGGGAGAGGGACGCGGAAUUCCCGGUGUAGUGGUGGAAUGCGUAGAUAUCGGGAGGAACACCAGUGGCGCAAGCGGCGUCCUGGCCCACACCUGACGCUGAGGUGCGAAAGCGUGGGUAGCAAACAGG